Molecule: small RNA, 28 nt
Filed under: Bombyx mori (domestic silkworm)
Lineage: Eukaryota; Metazoa; Arthropoda; Insecta; Lepidoptera; Bombycidae
Description: ovarian small RNA-10597
Source: RNAcentral
AAGCGUCCGAUGUACUUGAACCGCCCGA